RNAcentral lists this ribosomal RNA (534 nucleotides) under Triticum aestivum (bread wheat). Its description in RNAcentral is "partial small subunit ribosomal RNA". Lineage: Eukaryota; Viridiplantae; Streptophyta; Magnoliopsida; Poales; Poaceae. The record is from RNAcentral.
AUGAGCCGUUGGUGGGUGGCAGACCGGACCGAGUCCGGUGGCGGCUGGAGCCGUCGGGCUUGUUCUCCACCAAGUCACUUUACACGGCCGGUUUGGUCUGUCUGCGUCCCCCUGAAGAUACGCAUUUUCAUGUGGCAGUGGAUUCGCGGUCGGGUCCCGUCUGGAGUGGAGGUCUACAAGCGCAAUGGACCGGGCACCGGUAUCUACCCGCUCUGUGGAGUCCCUGAAGACUCGAACCACAUCUUCUUCUCCUGCAUCUCCGCCCAAUUUCUCUGGAGCUGCUUUCGUGAGGUGGUCGGUGGUAGUUGGUGCCACACCAACUUCCCGGACCUAUUUGUUGAACUCCAGUUGUCCCCCACGUCCUCUCGCCACAUUAGGUGGCUUGAGGUUGGGGUUCUCGCCUGGACGCUUUGGACCGUUCGCAAUAAGCUUGUGAUCCAGCACGCUCCCCUUCAUCGCGCUACUGACGCUCUCUACAAAUUCUCAGGUUUCUUGCAGCUUUGGCGGCCGCUUAGCCGCCCCCCCGGACCGUGA